AGAGUUUGAUCCUGGCUCAGAAUCAACGCUGGCGGCGUGCCUAACACAUGCAAGUCGAACGCGAAAGCCUCGCAGGGGGUGAGUAGAGUGGCAAACGGGUGAGUAACACGUGGGUGACCUGCCUUCGAGUGGGGGAUAACGUCCCGAAAGGGACGCUAAUACCGCACGACAUCCUGCCUUUGGAAAGGCGGAGAUCAAAGCUGGGGAUCGCAAGACCUGGCGCUUGACGAGGGGCCCGCGCCUGAUUAGCUAGUUGGGGGGGUAAUGGCUCACCAAGGCGACGAUCAGUAUCCGGCCUGAGAGGGCGGACGGACACACUGGGACUGAGACACGGCCCAUACUCCUACGGGAGGCAGCAGUGGGGAAUUGUUCGCAAUGGGCGCAAGCCUGACGACGCAACGCCGCGUGGAGGACAAAUAUCUUCGGGUCGUAAACUCCUGUCGAGCGGGAAGAACGCUCCGCGGUUGAAUACGCCGCGGAAUUGACGGUACCGCUAAAGGAAGCCCCGGCUAACUCCGUGCCAGCAGCCGCGGUAAUACGGGGGGGGCAAGCGUUGUUCGGUAUUACUGGGCGUAAAGGGCUCGUACGCGGCCAACUAAGUCAGAUGUGAAAUCCCCAGGCUCAACCUGGGAACUGCAUCUGAUACUGAUGGCUUGAAUCCCGGGAGAGGGAUGCAUAUUCCAGGUGUA
This 689-nucleotide ribosomal RNA is filed under the name uncultured bacterium. RNAcentral's name for it is "bacterial SSU rRNA". It matches the Rfam family "Bacterial small subunit ribosomal RNA", at positions 8 to 677 of the family's 1533-position model. The record is from RNAcentral.